GAUUUGAACGUGUUUGCGAUACAAAAGAGCCGGGAGGUCUUCCUCGCCGCUGAGACAGUCGCCACCCGCCACAUGAAAUUAUUUGUUCAAAUUAUGCCUUGUACAAUAAGUGUGCGGCUCCUUGUUCAACCAUGACACUUUUGUUUUCCGAAGAACA
Non-coding RNA from Caenorhabditis elegans, 157 nucleotides. The record is from Ensembl. NCBI's taxonomy places the organism in Eukaryota, Metazoa, Nematoda, Chromadorea, Rhabditida, Rhabditidae.